GGGAUCAGAAGGUCUGAUGCAGCUGAUGACUGCAGCCAGCACCAAAAUGUGGAAACAGCUUUAUUUAUGAAGUAUCUUUAACAAGGCUUCUUACCAGCAUGGUGGAUAGUUUCCAGGGGCAAGAGUCUCAAGAAAGAAAGCCAGUUAUAAAUUCCUAUUUAUUUGUUCGAGUCAAACAAGUCAGAGAAGACUGCUCCAGAUUUCCAGAAAGAACGACA
This is a long non-coding RNA of Nycticebus coucang (slow loris), 218 nucleotides long. RefSeq lists it as uncharacterized. The record is from RefSeq and is a predicted model, not a curated record. The transcript has 3 exons. NCBI's taxonomy places the organism in Eukaryota, Metazoa, Chordata, Mammalia, Primates, Lorisidae.